Molecule: long non-coding RNA, 1272 nt
Organism: Homo sapiens (human)
Lineage: Eukaryota; Metazoa; Chordata; Mammalia; Primates; Hominidae
Source: Ensembl
CUGUGUGGAAACUGGGAUUUGAACUGGGAAGGUGGGAAGCAAUCUAGCAGGGGCCUCUGGGCUUGCGGAGAGUCCCUGUUUUCCCUUUUUUCUUUUUCACCCAAUAAAACCUUGCUUUUCUCACCCCUCAAACCAUCUGUGAACCCAGACUUUCUAGGCCAUGGAACAAGGACCCCAUCUUUAUCUGAACUAAGGAAAAGUCCUGCACCAUUUUGGCGCGCAACGUGGGGGUUCGAGAAGCGGACAGACCAGAAAGCAGCAGCUUCCCGCCGCCUGCCGCCCUCACCUCUGUGCCAGGACCUGGACGCAUGGCCCAAGUGUCCCACACACAGGCGGCUGGCUGGUUCCCAGCCACAUACCUCCGCAGCCUUCUGCUUCCCUGGCCAAGGAUUUUAACUCUAUUGGACAAUAAUUAAGCUUAAACUUUUCUCCCAGAUGGAGGAACAGUUGCAUAAGAAUAAUCUUCCCCAGGCAUUUUUAAACUGUUUUUUCAUCCCCUUCUCUACCCCAUCAGCAGUUAACUUUUAAAGUUCUUUUUUUUUUAGAAGACAUUUUUCUAAGCCAGGCCCCCCAACUAUCUCUGUUUAUAUUCUCUGCAAAGCUUUGGUUGUGAAAGCAAGCCUCCAUCUUGCUUUCCAUCCUGGAGGCAUGGCUUGUAACUGUGGUGGCAAGGCUUUGUUUAGCAAUCCUGCUUUAGGGAAUAAGUUCCUUUCUGGUUUGAUAUCUACAUGUUUUCCUAGCCCUGUCUCUUAUAGAACCCCACCUGGGAACUGGGUUUUUUCCUGCCUGUCUGUGUCUGUGUAAUGUCUGUAAAAACAGCUCUAAUUAAUUUGGCUUAAAGAAAGACAAGCGCUUGGAUCGAAUAUUUUUUGAAGGGAAGAUAAAAGCUGUGGUACCUUUCAGUUCAUGUGACUUUAAUCUUUGAGAAAUAAAAAGAGCCUUAAAGACUAUUGGUAAAAUGCAGGUAUCAUUACAAUGUAAAUAGGUGACUAAAUUAUACAGGCAGUUGCAAGAUUUGCUAAAUGUUUUAAGGUUAUAAACUGCUUUCUGCGUCUUGAGAACUAUUUGACUUGCCGGCUUCACAGUUGUCAAGGCCUGGGGAUAUAUGGAACUGUCCACACCCUUAAUUAUGCUGAAAAAUGUCAAACCUUGGCUACACUUAGCACACAAUUAAAGCAACUUACCAGGUUUCACCUUAAAGUUAAAAAUCGCUAGGAGUUAUUAUUAUGACAUGUAAUUGAAACUACCGGAAAUAAAUGAUGUUCAAUCUUC